Non-coding RNA from Sus scrofa (pig), 618 nucleotides. Lineage: Eukaryota; Metazoa; Chordata; Mammalia; Artiodactyla; Suidae. The record is from RefSeq and is a predicted model, not a curated record.
UCCCUAUGCCACAGGUGUGGCCUUAAAAAGCAAAGCAAAAAAAAAAAAAAAACAACGAAAAACUGAGCUUGCCUUCUCUCUAAAUUGAUUCCUUUCCUGCCCAGGAGUGAAAGAGUGACAGGGAGGCAUCAAUGAAGUCAACUGCAUCCAGUUUAUUCUGGAGACACCAGACCUAAAGGACUUGUCAGAGAACACUGAGCUCACUGAGUGAAAAAGCCUGAGCUAAGCUGCUGGAGGAGAGGGCAUCUGAAGCAGAAACAUCAAGUUCCAGCAGAGAUCUCUCCAGAACAAUCAACCCACCAACGAUCAGAAAUGGCUAGAACUAGGUGGAAGACCAAUGAAGAAGUAGAAGACUUGAACAAUGCUAUAAACAAACUAGAUCCGAUAGAACAUCCCAACCAACAACAGCAGAAUACCCAGUCUUCUCAAAUACACAUGAGAAGUCCUCCAGGAUAGAUGAUAUGCUAAGCCAAAAACAAACCUUAAUACAUUUAAGAGGAUGGAAAUAAUACAAAGUAUGUUCUCCAACAAAGUGUUGAUGAAAAUCAGUCAGUCUAAGAAAUAAAUAGGAGAGAGUUCCCAUCGUGGCGCAGUGGUUAACGAAUCCGACUAGGAACU